This 378-nucleotide unclassified non-coding RNA is filed under the name plant metagenome. RNAcentral describes it as "partial contains 5.8S ribosomal RNA, internal transcribed spacer 2, and large subunit ribosomal RNA". The stretch from base 1 to 105 matches the Rfam family "5.8S ribosomal RNA", at positions 50 to 154 of the family's 154-position model. The record is from RNAcentral.
GAAAUGCGAUAAGUAAUGUGAAUUGCAGAAUUCAGUGAGUCAUCGAAUCUUUGAACGCACCUUGCGCUCCUUGGUAUUCCUUGGAGCAUGCCUGUUUGAGUAUCAUGAAAUCUUCAAAGUAAAUCUUUUGUUAACUCAAUUGGUUUCUACUUUGGUAUUGGAGGUCUUUGCAGCUUCACACCUGCUCCUCUUUGUUCAUUAGCUGGAUCUCAGUGUUAUGCUUGGUUCCACUCGGCGUGAUAAGUUAUCUAUCGCUGAGGACACUGUAAAAGGUGGCCAAGGUAAAUGCAGAUGAACCGCUUCUAAUAGUCCAUUGACUUGGACAAUACUUUUAUGAUCUGAUCUCCAAUCAGGUAGGACUACCCGCUGAACUUAAGC